RNAcentral lists this unclassified non-coding RNA (257 nucleotides) under Hevea brasiliensis (rubber tree). Lineage: Eukaryota; Viridiplantae; Streptophyta; Magnoliopsida; Malpighiales; Euphorbiaceae. The record is from RNAcentral.
CCCUUAGCACCUUCCAGCAGAUGUGGAUUGCAAAGGCAGAGUAUGAUGAGUCUGGGCCAUCAAUUGUCCACAGGAAGUGCUUUUAAUCAUGCAAAGCUAAAGGCUAAAGGCGAGACACAUACUACACUUAAUUAUGUUUUUUGUUGCAAAAGGCUUCCAAUCAAGUGGUUGAAAAAUUUUCUUCUCCCUAUUUUAUUUCCAUAUUUUGAUUUAUUAUUCUUAUUCUUAUUUUUUUUUUCUGUUUCUGUUUCUGUUAA